UACGUAGGUGGCGAACGUUAUCCGGAAUUACUGGGCGUAAAGGGUCCGCAGGCGGAUCGCCAAGUCUGGUGUGAAAGCUCCCGGCUCAACUGGGAGAGGGCAUUGGAAACUGGUGGUCUUGGAUCUCACAGAGGUCGGUGGAAUUCCCGGUGUAGUGGUGGAAUGCGUAGAGAUCGGGAGGAACCUCGAAAGCGAAGGCAACCGGCUGGGUGAAGAUUGACGCUGAGGGACGAAAGCGUGGGGAGCGAACAGG
This 253-nucleotide ribosomal RNA is filed under the name uncultured bacterium. RNAcentral describes it as "partial 16S ribosomal RNA". It matches the Rfam family "Bacterial small subunit ribosomal RNA", at positions 524 to 776 of the family's 1533-position model. The record is from RNAcentral.